This 440-nucleotide ribosomal RNA is filed under the name uncultured bacterium. RNAcentral describes it as "partial 16S ribosomal RNA". It matches the Rfam family "Bacterial small subunit ribosomal RNA", at positions 338 to 795 of the family's 1533-position model. The record is from RNAcentral.
CCUACGGGAGACUGCAGUAGGGAAUAUUGCUCAAUGGGGGAAACCCUGAAGCAGCAACGCCGCGUGGAGGAUGAAGGUUUUCGGAUUUUAAACUCCUUUUUUUAGAGAAGUUAAUCACGGUAUCUAACGAAUAAUCACCGGCUAACGCCGUUCCGGCAGCCGCGGUAAUACGGAGGGUGCAAGCGUUACUCGGAAUCACUGGGCGUAAAGAGCGCGUAGGCGGGAUAGAAAGUCAGAUGUGAAAUCCUAUGGCUUAACCAUAGAACUGCAUUUGAAACUGUUAUUCUAGAGUAUGGGAGAGGUAGGUGGAAUUCUUGGUGUAGGGGUAAAAUCCGUAGAGAUCAAGAGGAAUCCUCAUUGCGAAGGCGACCUGCUAGAACAUAACUGACGCUGAUGCGCGAAAGCGUGGGGAGCAAACAGGAUUAGAUACCCCUGUAGUC